Molecule: ribosomal RNA, 67 nt
Filed under: uncultured Symbiodinium
Lineage: Eukaryota; Dinophyceae; Suessiales; Symbiodiniaceae
Description: partial Bacterial large subunit ribosomal RNA
Source: RNAcentral
AGUCUGUUCGACUUUAAAGUUUACGUGAUUUGAGUUUAGGACGGCGUGAGCUAGUCUGGUUUCUAUG